AAUGAUUCCCCUAGUAACGGCGAGUGAAGUGGGAAAAGCUCAACUUUGUAAUCUGGCUGUCUUUGGCAGUCCGAGUUGUAGUCUAGAGAAGUGUUAUCCGCGCAGACCCUUAUAGAUUUCGGUUGGAAUGCCAAGUCAAAGAGGGUGAGAAUCCCGUAUUUGAUAAGGUGGUCUUGUGCAUUGUGAUACAUUUUCAAAGAGUCGAGUUGUUUGGGAAUGCAGCUCAAAGUGGGUGGUAAAUUCCAUCUAAAGCUAAAUAUUGGCGAGAGACCGAUAGCGAACAAGUACCGUGAGGGAAAGAUGAAAAGCACUUUGGAAAGAGAAUGAAAUAGUACCUGAAAUUGCUGAAAGGGAAACGAGUGAAGUUAGACUUGCGCAGUUGGUAUUCAGCCUUGGCUUCGGUCUUGGUGCAUUUGCCUUCUAUUGCAGGCCAACAUCAGUUUACUUUGCGGUAAAAGGGUUUGGGGAAUGUGGCUUCUUCGGGAGUGUUAUAGCCCUUUACUGGAUGCCGAAUCGUAGACUGAGGAACGCAGCGCGCCUUUAUGGCAAAGCUUCAAGCUCGAGCGCUAGGAUGU
Molecule: ribosomal RNA, 575 nt
Filed under: Kondoa aeria
Lineage: Eukaryota; Fungi; Basidiomycota; Agaricostilbomycetes; Agaricostilbales; Kondoaceae
Description: LSU rRNA
Rfam family: Eukaryotic large subunit ribosomal RNA
Source: RNAcentral